CUUUACACACCCCGUUCAUCACAUCAAAGAUGGUAUCACUGAUGGAAACACAGCACUGACAGGAUACUAGGUGCCAUCAAGUACCAGAUUCAAAGCUGAUUAGUUAAUACACAAGAGGGCUUCUGGAAGAUGCUGGGACUGUUCACGCGGACAUAUGGGCCAUCCACGGCAGCUCACAUCUCAGGACCACGUGGAAGUCUGGCACAUACUUGUCAGGUGAACACUGUUGGCCUGUUAUUCUUGUGAGAUAUUCUAUUAUCUCGUAUGGCUGAGAUGCUUGCUUCUUGCUUCCAGGACAUUAUUUGGGGAUUUUUUUUUUUUUUUUUUGGUUGGGGAGAGGGAGGCAAUUAGGCUUGUUUGUUUAUUUAUUAACCGAGGCAUCUCGUGCAUGCUAAGAACGCACUCUACCACUGAGCUACACCCUUCCCCAAGGGACAUUAUUGAGUUGGUUAAAUCUUUAAAUGGGCAGGGAAGAUAAAAAUGAAGCAGAACCUUCUUCUGACGAGCACUCUUUGCCUCCUCUAGGUAGUUCUAUCUUCCCUAGGUUGACAGGAUGGGAUUUUCUUCUGCCAGAUCCCCAUUUAUUCUCUCUCCCACCCCCACAAGAGCGUAAUAACACACCAAAACCAUCACAUUCCAGGUGCUCAGUCUUAACUGAAGUCUGCAGGAUGUACAGUCUUUGGGGGGACCAAGCACGACAAGAGGCUGUUGGCACUUCAGCGGCGACAAUGCCUAUAGAUGGAAAUGGAAAAGAAGGUCUGCAUGAUCUCUGGGGCUUUGCAGACUUGUGACUGUGUAAUAACAAGAUUACUCCUCCCAACUGCACCCCUCCCUGCAGGACCCACUGUCCCUGCAGGUACUGCUAGAUGGCCCAGGUAUAGCAAAGAAACUGACUUGUUA
Long non-coding RNA from Camelus dromedarius (Arabian camel), 900 nucleotides. RefSeq lists it as uncharacterized. The record is from RefSeq and is a predicted model, not a curated record. The transcript has 3 exons. NCBI's taxonomy places the organism in Eukaryota, Metazoa, Chordata, Mammalia, Artiodactyla, Camelidae.